AACGAGAGAGAGGGAGCUUGCUUCCUCGAUCGAGUGGCGAACGGGUGAGUAACGCGUGAGGAACCUGCCUCAAAGAGGGGGACAACAGUUGGAAACGACUGCUAAUACCGCAUAAGCCCACGGCUCGGCAUCGAGCAGAGGGAAAAGGAGCAAUCCGCUUUGAGAUGGCCUCGCGUCCGAUUAGCUAGUUGGUGAGGUAACGGCCCACCAAGGCGACGAUCGGUAGCCGGACUGAGAGGUUGAACGGCCACAUUGGGACUGAGACACGGCCCAGACUCCUACGGGAGGCAGCAGUGGGGAAUAUUGCACAAUGGGGGAAACCCUGAUGCAGCGACGCCGCGUGGAGGAAGAAGGUCUUCGGAUUGUAAACUCCUGUUGUUGAGGAAGAUAAUGACGG
Molecule: ribosomal RNA, 397 nt
Filed under: uncultured bacterium
Lineage: Bacteria
Description: bacterial SSU rRNA
Rfam family: Bacterial small subunit ribosomal RNA
Source: RNAcentral